This 253-nucleotide ribosomal RNA is filed under the name uncultured bacterium. RNAcentral's name for it is "partial 16S ribosomal RNA". It matches the Rfam family "Bacterial small subunit ribosomal RNA", at positions 524 to 776 of the family's 1533-position model. The record is from RNAcentral.
UACAGAGGUCCCGAGCGUUGUUCGGAUUCACUGGGCGUAAAGGGCGCGUAGGCGGCGCGGGUAGUCAACGGUGAAAGCUUGGGGCUCAACCCCGAGUCGGCCGUCGAUACUCCCGUGCUUGAGCACUGUAGAGGCAGGUGGAAUUCCGGGUGUAGCGGUGGAAUGCGUAGAGAUCCGGAAGAACACCGGUGGCGAAGGCGGCCUGCUGGGCAGUAGCUGACGCUGAGGCGCGACAGCGUGGGGAGCAAACAGG